UACAGAGGUCUCAAGCGUUGUUCGGAUUCAUUGGGCGUAAAGGGUGCGUAGGUGGCGUCGUAAGUCAGGUGUGAAAUCUCGGGGCUCAACCCCGAAACUGCACUUGAUACUGCGAUGCUCGAGUACUGGAGAGGAGAUUGGAAUUUACGGUGUAGCAGUGAAAUGCGUAGAUAUCGUAAGGAAGACCAGUGGCGAAGGCGAAUCUCUGGACAGUUCCUGACGCUGAGGCACGAAGGCCAGGGGAGCAAACGGG
This 253-nucleotide ribosomal RNA is filed under the name uncultured bacterium. Its description in RNAcentral is "partial 16S ribosomal RNA". It matches the Rfam family "Bacterial small subunit ribosomal RNA", at positions 524 to 776 of the family's 1533-position model. The record is from RNAcentral.